RNAcentral lists this ribosomal RNA (247 nucleotides) under uncultured bacterium. RNAcentral describes it as "partial 16S ribosomal RNA". It matches the Rfam family "Bacterial small subunit ribosomal RNA", at positions 523 to 769 of the family's 1533-position model. The record is from RNAcentral.
AUACGGAGGAUUCGAGCGUUAUCCGGAUUUAUUGGGUUUAAAGGGUGCGUAGGCGGGCUAAUAUGUCAGUGGUGAAAUCACUCAGCUUAACUGAGUAACUGCCAUUGAUACUGUUAGUCUAGAAUAUAAAUGGUGCAGGCGGAAUGAAUCAUGUAGAGGUGACAUUCAUAGAUAUGAUUCAGAACACCGAUCGCGAAGGCAGCUUGCAAAGAUAUUAUUGACGCUGAGGCACGAAAGCGAGGGUAGC